RNAcentral lists this ribosomal RNA (706 nucleotides) under uncultured bacterium. Its description in RNAcentral is "bacterial SSU rRNA". It matches the Rfam family "Bacterial small subunit ribosomal RNA", at positions 76 to 760 of the family's 1533-position model. The record is from RNAcentral.
CCCUUCGGGGGCGAGUACAGCGGCGGACGGGUGAGUAACACGUGAGCGAUCCACCUCGAGGCGGGGGACAACCCAGGGAAACCUGGGCUAAUACCGCAUACAGCGGCAGGCAUGGAAGCCUGUCGUGAAAGCUGGCCUCUCCAUGGAAGCUAGCGCCUCUGGACGAGCUCGCGGCCUAUCAGCUGGUUGGUGAGGUAACGGCUCACCAAGGCGAUGACGGGUAGCUGGCGUGAGAGCGCGAUCAGCCACACUGGGACUGAGACACGGCCCAGACUCCUACGGGAGGCAGCAGUGGGGAAUCUUGCGCAAUGGGCGAAAGCCUGACGCAGCGACGCCGCGUGGGGGAGGAAGGCCCUAGGGUUGUAAACCCCUGUCAGGUGGGACGAACCGGGGAUCGGCGAAAGCCGGUUCCUCUGACGGUACCACCAGAGGAAGCUCCGGCUAACUCCGUGCCAGCAGCCGCGGUAAAACGGAGGGAGCAAGCGUUGUUCGGAAUUACUGGGCGUAAAGGGCGCGUAGGCGGCCCUGUAAGUCGCAUGUGAAAGGCCGGGGCUCAACCCCGAGUAUUGCAUGCGAUACUGCAAGGCUAGAGACAGGUAGGGGCGAGCGGAAUUCCCGGUGUAGCGGUGGAAUGCGUAGAUAUCGGGAAGAACACCGGUGGCGAAGGCGGCUCGCUGGGCCUGUUCUGACGCUGAAGCGCGAAAGC